AAGAACCUCUGGUAAGCAGUGCUGCGUUAAUGAUUUUAUUGAAACCUGGUUUGAUAAGAGUAAAAGAAAAAUAACAUCAUGUCCCUAAUGUUUUCAGGGUAUAAUUGUAAUGUCUUAUCAUUUAUCUGUCAUGCAAACCUAUGUACACAAGUCAUUUGAUACCCUGUCACCCCCAGAGAAGAUUUAAUUCACCUUAGCUCCAUUGAAAAUCAUAUAUUUUAGUGGCAAGAUACUCAGUAAAAGGUUUUCAAAACAUUAACUUGGUAAUAACAAAAAAGUAGUAAAUUAUGAACUAUGGUCUCAAACCACAGUGCUUUGGUUUUCCCCUUUUUGUGUGAGCAAAUCAGACAGACUGGGAUUCAGAAAAGCAAGUGUAAUACCAGAAUUCUCCCUCCUAAUUUAAUUUAACUACUUCUCUCUGAAACGUCUUAGGUACUUUUUUAGUAGGGAAGAUUUUCCUGGGUCUAAGUGCUUUGUCUGAUGGUUUUUUUAAGUAUUAUUUCAGCUUCAUUCCCUGGAUAAAUGGAAUUUUUCCAGUGUAAGU
This 544-nucleotide long non-coding RNA is filed under the name Bos taurus (domestic cattle). RNAcentral's name for it is "long non-coding RNA NONBTAT005005". The record is from RNAcentral. Lineage: Eukaryota; Metazoa; Chordata; Mammalia; Artiodactyla; Bovidae.